Molecule: ribosomal RNA, 845 nt
Filed under: Oedecnema gebleri
Lineage: Eukaryota; Metazoa; Arthropoda; Insecta; Coleoptera; Cerambycidae
Description: eukaryotic LSU rRNA
Rfam family: Eukaryotic large subunit ribosomal RNA
Source: RNAcentral
GAACUAUUGCGGAGAGACUAACUAGGAUUCCCUCAGUAGCUGCGAGCGAACAGGGAAGAGCCCAGCACCGAAUCCCGCGGCCGAUACCGGGCGCCGGGAAAUGUGGUGUUAGGGAGGAUCCGUUCAUCCCGAGGUCGUGCGGUGCGUCCAAGUCCUUCUUGAACGGGGCCACAGCCCAUAGAGGGUGCCAGGCCCGUAGCGACCGCUGCCGAUCGCGGGAGGAUCUCUCCUCAGAGUCGGGUUGCUUGAGAGUGCAGCCCUAAGUGGGUGGUAAACUCCAUCUAAGGCUAAAUAUGACCACGAGACCGAUAGCGAACAAGUACCGUGAGGGAAAGUUGAAAAGCACUUUGAAGAGAGAGUUCAAGAGUACGUGAAACCGUUCAGGGGUAAACCUGAGAAACCCGAAAGGUCGAAAGGGGAAAUUCAUUCGCGUUUCGGCCGUCGGCGUUGGAUGGUCGAGUGACGGAUGGCGCAUGCGUCGUCCGCGCCUUCCUUCCUUCGAACUGGCGUCGAACGCGUGCACUUUUCCCCUAGUAGGACGUCGCGAUCCGUUGGGUGUCGGUCUAAGGCCCGUGGUGGAGCCCGUGCGGACGUUUCGGCGUUCGCUCGGACCCGCGGUGUCCCGGCCGACUCGCUCGACGGUAUACAGAUGGCGCGGGGCCGCUACUUAAGUUAGCGUUCGGCCAGCGGCAAGCGCGUUCGGUGUUUGACGGCGAUCGGACCCGGUGCCGGUCCUGUCCCCGAACGACUGUUGGCCGCUGUGUUCUCGAACAGACCUCGUUUUUGAAACGCCGAUCUGCGACGCUAUAGCUUUGGGUACUUUCAGGACCCGUCUUGAACCGCCA